GUAGUUGGCAAGCGUUGUCCGGAAUUAUUGGGCGUAAAGCGCGCGCAGGCGGGUCCUUUAAGUCUGAUGUGAAAGCCCACGGGCUCAACCGUGGAGGGUCAUUGGAAACUGGGGGACUUGAGUACAGAAGAGGAAAGCGGAAUUCCAAGUGUAGCGGUGAAAUGCGUAGAGAUUUGGAGGAACACCAGUGGCGAAGGCGGCUUUCUGGUCUGUAACUGACGCUGAGGCGCGAAAGCGUGGGGAGCAAACAGGAUUAGAUACCCUGGUAGUCCACGCCGUAAACGAUGAGUGCUAAGUGUUAGGGGGUUUCCGCCCCUUAGUGCUGCAGCUAACGCAUUAAGCACUCCGCCUGGGGAGUACGGCCGCAAAGGCUG
Molecule: ribosomal RNA, 374 nt
Filed under: uncultured organism
Description: partial 16S ribosomal RNA
Rfam family: Bacterial small subunit ribosomal RNA
Source: RNAcentral